AGUCGUACAGGUCUCCGUAGGUGAACCUGCGGAGGGAUCAUUACACAAAUAUGAAGGCGGGCUGGAACCUCUCGGGGUUACAGCCUCGCUGAAUUAUUCACCCUUGUCUUUUGCGUACUUCUUGUUUCCUUGGUGGGUUCGCCCACCACUAGGACAAACAUGAACCUUUUGUAAUUGCAAUCAGCGUCAGUAACAAAUUAAUAAUUACAACUUCCAGCAACGGAUCUCUUGGUUCUGGCAUCGAUGAAGAACGCAGCGAAAUGCGAUAAGUAGUGUGAAUUGCAGAAUUCAGUGAAUCAUCGAAUCUUUGAACGCACAUUGCGCCCUUUGGUAUUCCAAAGGGCAUGCCUGUUCGAGCGUCAUUUGUACCCUCAAGCUUUGCUUGGUGUUGGGCGUCUUGUCUCUAGCUUUGCUGGAGACUCGCCUUAAAGUAAUUGGCAGCCGGCCUACUGGUUUCGGAGCGCAGCACAAGUCGCACUCUCUAUCAGCAAAGGUCUAGCAUCCAUUAAGCCUUUUUUUCAACUUUUGACCUCGGAUCAGGUAGGGAUACCCGCUGAACUUA
RNAcentral lists this ribosomal RNA (562 nucleotides) under uncultured fungus. RNAcentral's name for it is "eukaryotic LSU rRNA". The stretch from base 209 to 362 matches the Rfam family "5.8S ribosomal RNA". The record is from RNAcentral. Lineage: Eukaryota; Fungi.